GUCUACGGCCAUGCCACCCUGAACAAGCCUGAUCCUGUCUGAUCUCGGAAGCUAAGCAGGGUCGGGCCUGGUUAGUACUUGGAUGGGAGACCACCUAGGAAGUCCAGGUGCUGUAGGCG
RNAcentral lists this ribosomal RNA (119 nucleotides) under Pteropus alecto (black flying fox). Lineage: Eukaryota; Metazoa; Chordata; Mammalia; Chiroptera; Pteropodidae. The record is from RNAcentral.